AUACGGAGGGUCCGAGCGUUAUCCGGAUUUAUUGGGUUUAAAGGGUGCGCAGGCGGCCAUUUAAGUCAGCGGUUAAAUCGUGGGGCUCAACCCCAUUCUGCCGUUGAUACUGGGUGGCUUGAUUGCGGUCGAGGUUGGCGGAAUUCGUUGUGUAGCGGUGAAAUGCAUAGAUAUGACGAAGAACACCGAUUGCGUAGGCAGCUGACCAGACCGCAAAUGACGCUCAUGCACGAAAGUGCGGGGAUCGAACAGGAUUAGAUACCCUGGUAGUCCGCACAGUAAACGAUGAAUACUUGUUUUCGGCGAUAUAAUGUCGGAGGCAAAGCGAAAGCGAUAAGUAUUCCACCUGGGGAGUACGCCGGCAACGGUGAAACUCAAAGGAAUUGACGGGG
Molecule: ribosomal RNA, 392 nt
Filed under: uncultured bacterium
Lineage: Bacteria
Description: partial 16S ribosomal RNA
Rfam family: Bacterial small subunit ribosomal RNA
Source: RNAcentral